This is a long non-coding RNA of Salvelinus namaycush (lake trout), 1620 nucleotides long. RefSeq lists it as uncharacterized. NCBI's taxonomy places the organism in Eukaryota, Metazoa, Chordata, Actinopteri, Salmoniformes, Salmonidae. The transcript has 3 exons. The record is from RefSeq and is a predicted model, not a curated record.
GACAAGGAAAACUCUUUUAAGGAGUGAAUGGGAGACAAUUGAGUGCUAGCUCAAAAACGGACAUUAGCAUGAUUUCGUGAAAAAGAAUAUCUUCAGAUAUGUGAGAUAAUUAACUUGUUCACUGUAAUAUCGUAUAGCUUUGAAAUAGACACAUCACGUACUUUCGAGGAAAAUAGGCAGGUUUCUCGACCCAUACCCUGACUUUGAGAAGGGAUUGCGUGAUGGCUGAUGAAGAGCGAGGCCCAACUCAGCGGGAAAUCUGUCUCCCUCCAGCUGGUGGCGUUUUUUCGUUGUUUUGCCCAACAAGUUUUUGUAUGGAGGUCAAUGUAUCGAAUUUGGUCAACAACAAAAAAUAAUAGCUUAUUUGCUACGUGAGGUUUAUAUGAUCGAAUAUAUGUUUCGUAAUGCUUAAGUUGUCUGGAGUGUUCUGAUAUAAGUAGGAUAUGUGAAAUGUCGUCAAAAAACACUAUUGGAUAGUAGGAUAGCCUCUCCCUCUCUCCAUUGAAUACAGGUGGUUGCCGUCAACAACCCUCAUAGAAUAUUCAAAAAGGAUUACAAUAAUGAGAUGUAUCCACCAAUCUAAAAAAAAAAAAAAAAAGAUAGGGGGGAGCUAUACAGCCAGUCAUGACGCUUUGUGGACAAUGACUCCUAUUUCUAGGGCGGAGAGACAUGUAUCUUGUCAGUAUAUCCAUAAUCUUUGGUGACGAUUAGUUCAGCAACAGCGUGACGCAGCAUGACAACACGAUUGGUCGACAGACUGCUGGGUGGGGUCAUUCAUUAGCCAGUUAACGUGCUCUCAUGGCCACACCCUCACUGUGAUGAACUACAGCAUGCAGGGAUUGUUUGUACAGGCACUUGCCCUGAGACAGUUGCUAAGGUGGAGUACCCACAAGCUGCUGAACCCUGGACACGGACCCUACUGGACACUACACACUCGCCAGCUGUGUUGUUCCUCCAUGACCAUUGGGACACACAAGCGCCCUACACACUGGAGUUCAGCUAAGACCUGGUCAGGUCUUCAUCAAGUGAGGUUCAAAAGCAGCAAAAAGGAGGCGCCAAGGCUGUACAGGAUGAGGAAGAUGAUGAAAAGGAUCCUGAGCACAGUGACUAUGAGGAUGAACCUGAGGAUGACUCCCCAGUGUACCCAAAGACUACAAAGACAUGGAGAAAUAUGUGCAGUCGUUUCAUUAUGGUAUCAUGAAAGUUGGCCUUGAUAUAGCACGCAGGUUAAAGUUGUAGACACCUUGGACCUGGUAUUGUCAGAGAAAGAAACAGACACUGUCACACUUUUGAGAGUCAUCAUUAAGAAGGAAUUGGGCAAAUCCAAGGAUGGAGACCAGUACAACGUUGUUCUGAGGCGCUGGAAAAACUUGGAACUUCCAAAGCAGAAUGCCUUCAAAUAAUGAGUUUUCAGCGGACAAUACUGACUAUACUUCUCGCCAUUGACAAGGGAAUUGUAAUAUCUACAUUUUGCAUGAUGUUACAUCAAAGGGAAUGGUUCAGUUUUUACAGUAGUCCUCUUGGUACAGUUGAAGUUGGAAGUUUACAUACACCUUAGCCAAAUGCAUUUAAACUCAGUUUUUCUCAAUUCCUGACAUUUAAUUCAGCUUUUAUUUAUUU